This 253-nucleotide ribosomal RNA is filed under the name uncultured bacterium. RNAcentral's name for it is "partial 16S ribosomal RNA". It matches the Rfam family "Bacterial small subunit ribosomal RNA", at positions 524 to 776 of the family's 1533-position model. The record is from RNAcentral.
UACGUAGGGUGCAAGCGUUGUCCGGAAUUAUUGGGCGUAAAGAGCGUGUAGGCGGCCAGGUAGGUCAGCUGUGAAAACUCGAGGCUCAACCUCGAGACGUCGGUUGAAACCACCUGGCUAGAGUCCGGAAGAGGAGAGUGGAAUUCCUGGUGUAGCGGUGAAAUGCGCAGAUAUCAGGAAGAACACCCGUGGCGAAGGCGGCUCUCUGGGACGGUACUGACGCUGCGACGCGAAAGCGUGGGGAGCGAGCAGG